AUACGAAGGGGGCAAGCGUUGUUCGGAAUUACUGGGCGUAAAGGGCGCGUAGGCGGUUAAAUAAGUUAGGUGUGAAAUCCCUGGGCUCAACCCAGGAACUGCACUUAAAACUGUUUGACUAGAAUACAAGAGAGGACAGUGGAAUUCCUAGUGUAGAGGUGAAAUUCGUAGAUAUUAGGAAGAACAUCAGAGGCGAAGGCGACUGUCUGGCUUGAUAUUGACGCUGAGGCGCGAAAGCGUGGGUAGCAAACAGGAUUAGAUACCCUAGUAGUCC
RNAcentral lists this ribosomal RNA (274 nucleotides) under uncultured bacterium. Its description in RNAcentral is "partial 16S ribosomal RNA". It matches the Rfam family "Bacterial small subunit ribosomal RNA", at positions 523 to 796 of the family's 1533-position model. The record is from RNAcentral.